Molecule: long non-coding RNA, 2483 nt
Organism: Mustela erminea (ermine)
Lineage: Eukaryota; Metazoa; Chordata; Mammalia; Carnivora; Mustelidae
Exons: 2
Source: RefSeq, a predicted model, not a curated record
UCUCUGAUCCUGGCUGGCUAGGUGUGAUUUGUUGGUGGCCACAGACCCCUGUCCCUUCCCAAGCCACCCUGUCUGUCCUGCUGCCUGGGGGCCAAGGGCACAACACAGAAGAGCUCAGGAUGUCCCCCCCAGUCUGUCCUGCUGCCCACGCAGGAGGCACGUGGGGAGACACCCCUCUUGACUGCCUACAACCUCAAAACAGGCCAAAGUGUCUAGCUCAGAAUAUCCCCUUCUUCUGGAGAAAAGAACCAAGCAGAAGGCCAGUCUUAGAGAUCUGUUGGGGCUUUCAGGACAUUCCCUCCAAAACUGCCACCAUCCUCUCUGGCUCACCCUGUUCUCUGCCCAGCUCCGAUGGCCAGCGAGCAUUCAGCCUUCCCCCCAUGCUUCCUGCUUCUUGGGCCAGAGGAAUCUUAGCUGUCAAUUUGACCAACCCCUGAGUACACAGAUCCGAUCACUCUCUUGGAAAGUCCCGGACCCAGGUCAUUCUGGAAGCUUCUUCCAGAAGUUGGAAGCCGGAGACAUGAGAACAGAUCAGAAUAGAGGGAAUGCCAUUCCCUCAGACCCUCCAUCUCUUUCCUGUGCUCCUAUUACCCCCUCAGGGCAGUCCCACAGCCUGUAGGGCAAAACCAGGUGUGUGUGGUUGGGGGCCGCCAGGUGGAAGAAGUUCUCUAGGGACUCUGUGUGUCUGCGGUCUGGACUGUGGGUGACAGGCGGCAGUUCUAGGACCUCUCUAGUAUUCAACUUAUCCCAGUUGCUCUUUGUUUUUCCAUCCAGGGGUCUUGGUGGACAUGUGAAAGGCAAGUGGAUAGCUUGUAGGAUGCACACUUCACGUCCAGGUCCCUGAUCCCUGACCUAGGAGGCCUUGUGGGGGCAGCAAGAUCCCUCUUCUUGUGCCCCAGCCUCCAAUUCCCAGUCCUGGAACAUGGAGGAAGUGGGAGGAGCCAGGCCAGUACCCCUGGAAGGAGUCCAGCUCUGUGGUUUGUUUGCUGUGUGGCUCCAGAGAGUAGCUUAACCUUUCUGUGCUGGAACUUCACUGAAGAUGUCCGGAUAAUGAUAGGCCCCUCCUAAAGCUUCUGGGGGCUAUGGUAGAGGAUCUGCUCAACACACCUGCUUUCUCCAGGGUUGGAGAUGAAGAUCUGACCCAUAGACCUCACUUUCCAGAUGCCCAGAGUCCUGACAAGAUACUGAAUGACUUCUAAGGGUAACACAGGGGUCAUGAGGAAAGGGCUCCCCCCACUCCUCAGAGAGCCUGCCCCCUCCCGCCGCAGGAGCCAACCUCCUUCCUGAUUUCCUCAGCCAGGCUGUCCCAACCCCUCUGACAUCCUACUUUCUGUUUCUCUUUGCCAAAACCCGGGUCCUGCUGCACAGUGGGGCCUGUCUCCCCAGGAGGGCAGCUCUGUCUCAGAGAAGGAGAGAAGCUGGGUCGGAGCCCAAGGAAGUGCAGCCACCCGAGGGCCCUCCCACCCCUGAAACCAAAGCAGGAAGGAGGUGGGGCCCCAGGGGAGAGGGGAGGCAGCUGGGCAGCCAGCCAGCCAGCUGGGAAGGUCACUCCAGAUGGGGGCUUUCCUAAAACAAGGCCAGUAAGAAGAAUGGAGCCCUAGUGCCCCAGACAAAGGGCAGGGCGGGGACAAGCCCAUCAGGAGAGGCAGCAGCAGAGGUCUGAAGACCAGCUCAGCAGUUCGUAUCAGUGAUGCUGGCUUUGUUAGCAGAAGCAGAAACCAAGCACCUGGUAGCUAGGAUGACCACUGUAGACCAUGUCCGCUGGAGAAUGUUCAUCAUCUUAAGCAAAGCACCCUCUAAAUUGCCUUGGGUGUUUUCCCCAGCAAUCUUUUUAACGGCAGGGCGACACGCCUUUCUGCAGACUUAAUUCUGUGGCUGGUUUCAUUUCUGCACUGUGAAGGGAAAAAUCAUCUCCAAGAUAAGAAGAUAAAUUGUUUCCCAUGAAGAAGCUACCAAGUGUGAAAAAUUAAAUUAGUCUUCAAAUGCUUCUUACGAGUUGUGCCUAUCAUCCCUCUAUUUUAGCUGUUCAAGGUCAAGCUUCGUGCUAUUAAGACAAUGCACUUGUCUAAACUUGGAAAUAUGUCAGCCUUGAGUGUCUGGUUUGCCAGGGACUGGGGAGCUUCCUGGGGCAUGGGAAAUUCAUUGUCAAAACUGGGAAGCCAGGGAGCAGUUGGUUGUCCUAAGUGCCCUAUGAGUGGAGGUUUCCGUUCUAAUCUUCAUGCUGAGGGCAGCCAGGUGCCCAGAGAGUACCGGUUUUUGGGGAGGACACUGGCAGGUAAUCCAAGGCCACAAUCCAGAGAUGGCUUUUUCAAUGACAGUCACCAAAAUGCACCUGAAGCUUUACUGAUGAGCGUAAGGAGGAGCAGAGAUGGGUUUCCGUUGAUGACAUUAGUGGCUUUAUUAAUUAGCAUAACAGAUGACAGAAAUGGUCUUUUUUUUUUUUUUAAGAUUUUAUUUAUUUAUUUGACACAGAGAGAGAGAAA